Molecule: long non-coding RNA, 2012 nt
Organism: Pyrus x bretschneideri (Chinese white pear)
Lineage: Eukaryota; Viridiplantae; Streptophyta; Magnoliopsida; Rosales; Rosaceae
Exons: 8
Source: RefSeq, a predicted model, not a curated record
ACAGCAACUAAAGGAUCCUGUUGGAAUUUAUUAGGUUUAUUUAAGAAAUUAAUUAGAGAUUUGAUUUGAUUUUGUAGUAGGGUAUUUUGGCAUUUACGCAUUAGGGUUCUUAGGUUUAUUUCACUAUAAAUAGAGCUUGUAAUUUAGUUUGAGAACAAGUUAGUUUUAUUCGAGUUAUAUAGUCAUCUAGGUAUUUUCGAUUAUAAAAAGUAUUAUUCUUAGUUUUAUAUUGUUGGUCUCUCAUUUUCAACAUGUAUCAAAGCAUGUUUAAUCGUUUGGGGUUGAAUCUGUUCUUAGUAGCCAGUUUGUUUGUCUUGUCACGUUCCUCUUCUUCGUGUCAGUUUGUGUGUUAGUUUGCUCGGUAUCAGUUUUGUUAAGGUUUUGUUCCCCAGCCGGCUAAUACCAUCGUAUCAUCCGCACCGCACCGCCGCCGUUACUCCGCUGCACCUUUGCACCUCAAGACUACCGCUGCCUGAUCUCGCGCCUGACCUGUGUUUGUCGAAGUCAGUUACCUGCUUUGCGAUAGCUUCUCUCUCCCUUCUUGAUUGCCAGCUCUUCAUACUCUGAUCACAAUUGCUGAGAGUGUCAAGGGCAAUGGAGUUGCUGUUGAAAAGAAAGUAACCAACCUUAGUUAUGCGACUCAAAAUCUGGGGCAGCUUCUGGACCUUAUUCUCAGGAAGAAUGAAGAUGGGGGAUGGCGUCUACAUAUUGAGGGGCCAAAUGCUAUGUUUGUGAACUGUUUUUUAUAUAUUGCACAGUAAGAUGAUGAUUAUAUCUCUGGUGUCCACUCGAAAUCUCUGGACUCUUCUGCUUCGUUCGGUUUUCUGUCAACCAAAAAUGCAAAUCCCUGCUUCUCGAACACACUCUCUCUCUCUCACCACCAGGCUCUGCUGCGGCGUCAAAUUCUGGGCCUCCAUCGACGUCGUUUUCUAAAACCCUUUCUACUCAAGGUAAAGUUAUUCUAGGUUUUAGUCCAUAUUCAGAUCACCCCCAAUUUCAAAAUUUUAGGGAAUUGAUUCGUUUUCCUGUUGCAUGUUUAACAUUCAUCUGGGUGAUGGUGGUUUGAGGGUGUACAAACUGGAAUUGCUGAUGGUAGGCUUGAAUUUGGCCAAAUUUGGUUAUUUGGUACAACUAUUCAUACUCUGAUCACAAUUGCUGAGAGUCUCAAGAGCAAUGGAGUUGCUGUUGAAAAGAGCAUAAGCACCUCUACUGUUGUCUUGAAGCUGGAUGGCGAAGAUGGACGGAUUGUGUUGAAGGCUCAGUUGGUGAUUUUGCUGGGAAAGGCUGAAGAAGUCGAGGAGACUGCAAUUCCUGUGGUUGCAGCGUGAAGGCAUGUAUGAUUCAGCAGAGUUUGAGUUGAAACUUGGAUGAUGAGUUGUAGCUGGGUAAUUCAUUAGAAUAAUAAGGAUGUGUAUAUGAGAGACAGGUUUAGCACUUUGAUGUAAAUAAUGAGAUUUUUUGCAGCUCACAGCUCUCUCUCUCUCUCUCUCUCUCUCUCUCUCUCUCUCUCUCUCUAAGGAUGUGUAUAUGAGAGACAGGUUUAGCACUUUGCGUCCUAAUACAUGUUUUCUUACAUGUCCUUUGAUAUAAAUAAUGAGGUUUUUUGCAGCUCAUAGCUCUCUCUCAGCUCACACACGCACACAUAAACAACCACAUUGUUAGAAAGCUGAAGAAACACUAGAAUUUAGUGAGUCUGAAACGUUAAGGUUGACAUUUAGGGUUCUCUUUCUUGUAGAGGGUAGAAGAUAUCUGGAUCUGCAUCAAAUUUCAAUUUUUGUGCCCAGAUUUUAGUGCCCUGUACUGUUUGUGUUGUGCUAAAAGCAUGAUUGUUUAUGUUGGAGUGGUUUAAGGGAAUGUCCAACUGAGUUGAGCAGUUUUUGUUCAUUCUGUUAAGGUAAUUUAGGCGUCUAAAAAUGCUCGAGAGUUGAAUGUGACAAAGUAAGCAGAUCAGCAUGUAAACCUGAAACCAAGAAGCUCAAACCCUGAGAAUUUGAUGGUUAGCCCUGUUUUCA